Molecule: ribosomal RNA, 292 nt
Filed under: uncultured bacterium
Lineage: Bacteria
Description: partial 16S ribosomal RNA
Rfam family: Bacterial small subunit ribosomal RNA
Source: RNAcentral
GUGUCAGCAGCCGCGGUAAUACGAAGGGGGCUAGCGUUGCUCGGAAUUACUGGGCGUAAAGGGCGCGUAGGCGGCUUUGUUAGUCAGGCGUGAAAGCCCUGGGCUCAACCUGGGGACUGCGCUUGAUACGGCAGGGCUAGAGGAUGGAAGAGGGUCGCGGAAUUCCCAGUGUAGAGGUGAAAUUCGUAGAUAUUGGGAAGAACACCGGUGGCGAAGGCGGCGACCUGGUCCAUUACUGACGCUGAGGCGCGACAGCGUGGGGAGCAAACAGGAUUAGAAACCCGCGUAGUCC